AUUUCAACUGCUGUAGUACCAUUUCCAGUGGGUAAGUUUAAACAAUGGUAUAUUUAGGUCAUUUAGGAACUAGACAAGAAGUCUGGGACAUCCAACCUCAUCUAUCUAAGGACAUCCUACAAAUACAAUUUACUAGCACUUUAUUACUCCAGUUUACUAGCAGCUACUCAGGGCCAAGAGGGAAGUAGAUGCACAGAAGUGGAAAACAUCAGUCUAAUUAAAGUCUUAAGUAACUACAGUAUUUCUAAACCACUGGCUGAGCUGAACAGUGCUGAUAUUCCCUUCUUCCAACUUUCACAGUACAUAGCCAUAACACCAUAUGCAAGGAGAGAUGUGAUCUGGACUGACAGGGAGCAAAGCAUCUGCCAUGUAAAACAAGGAGGUUUAAAAGAAGUCAGCCCAAUGCAAUUUUGAAACAUAACUGAAGAAAAACACUAGUGGCAUGGGAUGCAAAGGGAUGAUUAAGCAGCUGUCCAAGGAAAGAACAAAAAUGACCUUACCAACUUUGUAGUGUACGCAGCCUUCCAGGUCACCCACAGACACCCAGCCUUGUCGCUUCUCAACCUCUGGAUCAUUGCGCAAAAUCUUAUUUCUCAGCCAUGACAGGUAAUAGACUCUCAACUUAUUCUUUUUCCCUGAUAUAGUAAUUAGCACAUUGAGUCCUUCCAGAACAUCCAUUUGCUGGAAUCGUCUCCUUGUAAUCAGUGAAUAAACUCUUCCUUGCCCACUUCUGUCCAGAAGCCACAAUCCGUUCUCUGUUCCCACCAGUAAAUUCACUCCCCACAAAGCAGC
This 792-nucleotide long non-coding RNA is filed under the name Gallus gallus (chicken). Lineage: Eukaryota; Metazoa; Chordata; Aves; Galliformes; Phasianidae. The record is from RNAcentral.